Molecule: ribosomal RNA, 396 nt
Filed under: uncultured bacterium
Lineage: Bacteria
Description: partial 16S ribosomal RNA
Rfam family: Bacterial small subunit ribosomal RNA
Source: RNAcentral
AUACGUAGGUGGCAAGCGUUAUCCGGAUUUACUGGGUGUAAAGGGCGCGUAGGCGGGGAUGCAAGUCAGAUGUGAAAUCUAUGGGCUUAACUCAUAAACUGCAUUUGAAACUGUGUCUCUUGAGUGCUGGAGAGGUAGACGGAAUUCCUUGUGUAGCGGUGAAAUGCGUAGAUAUAAGGAAGAACACCAGUGGCGAAGGCGGUCUACUGGACAGUAACUGACGCUGAGGCGCGAAAGCGUGGGGAGCAAACAGGAUUAGAUGCCCUGGUAGUCCACGCUGUAAACGAUGAAUACUAGGUGUGGGGGGACUGACCCCCUCCGUGCCGCAGUUAACACAAUAAGUAUUCCACCUGGGGAGUACGGCCGCAAGGUUGAAACUCAAAUGAAUUGACGGGG